GACGAACGCUGGCGGCGUGCUUAACACAUGCAAGUCGAACGGAAAGGCCCUGCUUUUGUGGGGUGCUCGAGUGGCGAACGGGUGAGUAACACGUGAGUAACCUGCCCUUGACUUUGGGAUAACUUCAGGAAACUGGGGCUAAUACCGGAUAGGAGCUCCUGCUGCAUGGUGGGGGUUGGAAAGUUUCGGCGAUUGGGGAUGGACUCGCAGCUUAUCAGCUUGUUGGUGGGGUAGUGGCUUACCAAGGCUUUGACGGGUAGCCGGCCUGAGAGGGUGACCGGCCACAUUGGGACUGAGAUACGGCCCAGACUCCUACGGGAGGCAGCAGUGGGGAAUAUUGCACAAUGGGCGGAAGCCUGAUGCAGCAACGCCGCGUGCGGGAUGACGGCCUUCGGGUUGUAAACCGCUUUCGCCUGUGACGAAGCGUGAGUGACGGUAAUGGGUAAAGAAGCACCGGCUAACUACGUG
Molecule: ribosomal RNA, 468 nt
Filed under: uncultured bacterium
Lineage: Bacteria
Description: partial 16S ribosomal RNA
Rfam family: Bacterial small subunit ribosomal RNA
Source: RNAcentral